ACACGUGAACUAAUUGACAUGCUAGACUUUAAAAUGUUCAAAUUAAGAUGGGAAGAUUAAAAAAAUUUUGAAUAUUCUUGUUGUUUAAGGCUGUGUCAAUGGGCAAGCUAUAAAGAUGCAAACAAAACCUAUCAAUUUCAUAUACAGACAGUGUAUCCUAGGAUAGGAUCUCAAGAAAAAAUUCAAGUCAACUAAACUUUAAUCACAAUCCAGUUGGUGUCAAUUACAUGGAUCCUCAUAAUCAUAAAAAAUAAGAUAUUAUAUCUACCUUGCUUGCUCAUCACUAUAAA
RNAcentral lists this unclassified non-coding RNA (290 nucleotides) under Hevea brasiliensis (rubber tree). Lineage: Eukaryota; Viridiplantae; Streptophyta; Magnoliopsida; Malpighiales; Euphorbiaceae. The record is from RNAcentral.